RNAcentral lists this ribosomal RNA (525 nucleotides) under uncultured bacterium. Its description in RNAcentral is "partial 16S ribosomal RNA". It matches the Rfam family "Bacterial small subunit ribosomal RNA", at positions 36 to 538 of the family's 1533-position model. The record is from RNAcentral.
AUUGAACGCUGGCGGCAGGCCUAACACAUGCAAGUCGAGCGGAUGAAGGGAGCUUGCUCCUGGAUUCAGCGGCGGACGGGUGAGUAAUGCCUAGGAAUCUGCCUGGUAGUGGGGGAUAACGUCCGGAAACGGGCGCUAAUACCGCAUACGUCCUGAGGGAGAAAGUGGGGGAUCUUCGGACCUCACGCUAUCAGAUGAGCCUAGGUCGGAUUAGCUAGUUGGUGGGGUAAAGGCCUACCAAGGCGACGAUCCGUAACUGGUCUGAGAGGAUGAUCAGUCACGCUGAAAAGAGGAAAGGCAGCCGAGUAGGGGGGAAGGAAGUGGUGGGAAAUAGGGGACAGGGGGGGACCGCCGCAGGCGGACAGGCGUGGUGUGUGAAGAAGUGUUGGGGAUUGUAAAGCACUGGAUGUGGGGAGGAAGGGAAGUAAAUUAAUACUUUGCUGUUAUGACUUUACAAACAGAACAAGCACCGGCUAACUGCGUGCCAGCCGCAGCGGUAAUAAUGGGAAGACAACACGCAUGAAC